This is a long non-coding RNA of Choloepus didactylus (southern two-toed sloth), 615 nucleotides long. RefSeq lists it as uncharacterized. The transcript is spliced from 3 exons. The record is from RefSeq and is a predicted model, not a curated record. Lineage: Eukaryota; Metazoa; Chordata; Mammalia; Pilosa; Megalonychidae.
GGCUCCAUAUCUCAUCAAAAACAAGAAGGAAGAAAGAAAUGAGGAACACAGAACUGACGUGUCCUGUUAUUUUGUUGAGUCAUUCUCGGUCAUGUUUGCUGACUGAUGCUUCUCUCCUGACUGCCCAGAAGAGACAACAGCUCAGGCCCAGGACCCUUUCCCAUCCUUGGCCACACAGGGAGGGACAGCAAGGAAGAAAAGGCCCCAGUACAGCCUGUUCAUUCAGCGUCUCCCAGGCGGGGCCCAGGCGUCUCUUCUCUGAGUGAGUCUGCAGAGUCCUACACGGCUUCUGGUCACGUAUCCACUAGAAGUUAUAGAUUUGACUCUCGGUGAGUGUGAGCUGCUCGGCAGCAUGGAUUUAACCAGAGGUGAUGUCUCCAAUCACCGGUAUCUGAGACGUUUCCAGCAUCACUCUGCACACUCAGGAGCUCCUGGUAGAAGGCAUGGCGAAGGGAUCCCUGCUAAUAUUCUUCAGAAAAUGGAAACUCAGGGUGGCCAAUGGCACUAAAAUGAGAAAGAACAAUGGGUAAUGUGGAUACCAUGAUGGUAUUUCUAAGGUGACACAAACACAGUUUCUAUGAAGCUGACAAUAGGGUAAAAAUUCUAUUCUCUUUG